RNAcentral lists this unclassified non-coding RNA (375 nucleotides) under uncultured Thermoleophilia bacterium. RNAcentral's name for it is "contains 16S-23S intergenic spacer region". The record is from RNAcentral. Lineage: Bacteria; Bacillati; Actinomycetota; Thermoleophilia.
UCCGGUUUGGCACCGGCAGUCUCCCAUGAGUCCCCGACAUGACUCGCUGGCAACAUGGGACAGGGGUUGCGCUCGUUGCGCCACUUAAGGCAACACCUCACGGCACGAGCUGACGACAGCCAUGCACCACCUGUGCGGGCUCCGAAGAGCACCGUGUUUCCACGGUUGUCACUCACAUGUCAAGCCCAGGUAAGGUUCUUCGCGUUGCGUCGAAUUGAACCACAUGCUCCGCUGCUUGUGCGGGUCCCCGUCAAUUCCUUUGAGUUUUAGCCUUGCGACCGUACUCCCCAGGCGGGGCACUUAAUGCGUUAGCUCCGGCACGGGAGGAGUCGACACCUCCCACACCUAGUGCCCAUCGUUUACGGCGUGGACUAC